RNAcentral lists this long non-coding RNA (470 nucleotides) under Homo sapiens (human). RNAcentral describes it as "non-protein coding lnc-C1orf35-2:9". Lineage: Eukaryota; Metazoa; Chordata; Mammalia; Primates; Hominidae. The record is from RNAcentral.
UCGGUAACGGCCAGAACAGACAGCCUGGGCCCUGCCGCAGGCUGACUCAGAAUCUUUGGGAGUAGUGACCAACUUCUGCUUUUGGAAAAACCUCUACAGGCGGUUCUGAGAAGUCCAAGGGUUGCUGGGAGAGGUUGCAGGUUGCACGCCAGGGCCUGUACUGACCACCUCCACGUGCCACUGGGGCUGUAAGGAGGAAUGGCGGCCGUGGGCAGCCUGCUUGGUCCUUGCUAUUGUCCACUGUCCCCUGUGCUGGAAGCUUUGUGCCCUUGCUCAGCCUGGCAGCCUCUUCCUGGCUAGGGGGCCAGAACGCCUCUGACCACAGCCUGUGGCUCCUGAGGAAGCCCCGAGGCUCAUCCUGCCCCGGCACGGGUCACCAGCUCUGCCGGCUGAGGCAGAGCACCGUGAAGGCCACCGGACCUGCACUCCGCCGCCUGCACACAUCCUCCUGGCGAGCUGACAGCAGCAGG